UGGGGAAUAUUGGACAAUGGGCGAAAGCCUGAUCCAGCAAUGCCGCGUGUGUGAAGAAGGUCUUCGGAUUGUAAAGCACUUUCGACGGGGACGAUGAUGACGGUACCCGUAGAAGAAGCCCGGCUAACUUCGUGCCGG
This 138-nucleotide ribosomal RNA is filed under the name uncultured bacterium. RNAcentral's name for it is "partial 16S rRNA". It matches the Rfam family "Bacterial small subunit ribosomal RNA", at positions 355 to 511 of the family's 1533-position model. The record is from RNAcentral.